Molecule: ribosomal RNA, 783 nt
Filed under: Clostridium sp. AL08-2
Lineage: Bacteria; Bacillati; Bacillota; Clostridia; Eubacteriales; Clostridiaceae
Description: bacterial SSU rRNA
Rfam family: Bacterial small subunit ribosomal RNA
Source: RNAcentral
CCUUUGGGGUAGGGGCGGAAGGUGAGUACGCGUGGGUAACCUGCCCUGUACACACGGAUAACAUACCGAAAGGUAUACUAAUACGGGAUAACAUACGAAAGUCGCAUGGCUUUUGUAUCAAGCUCCGGCGGUACAGGAUGGACCCGCGUCUGAUUAGCUAGUUGGUAAGGUAAUGGCUUACCAAGGCAACGAUCAGUAGCCGACCUGAGAGGGUGAUCGGCCACACUGGAACUGAGACACGGUCCAGACUCCUACGGGAGGCAGCAGUGGGGAAUAUUGCACAAUGGGCGAAAGCCUGAUGCAGCAACGCCGCGUGAGCGAUGAAGGCCUUCGGGUCGUAAAGCUCUGUCCUCAAGGAAGAUAAUGACGGUACUUGAGGAGGAAGCCCCGGCUAACUACGUGCCAGCAGCCGCGGUAAUACGUAGGGGGCUAGCGUUAUCCGGAAUUACUGGGCGUAAAGGGUGCGUAGGUGGUUUUUUAAGUCAGAAGUGAAAGGCUACGGCUCAACCGUAGUAAGCUUUUGAAACUAGAGAACUUGAGUGCAGGAGAGGAGAGUAGAAUUCCUAGUGUAGCGGUGAAAUGCGUAGAUAUUAGGAGGAAUACCAGUAGCGAAGGCGGCUCUCUGGACUGUAACUGACACUGAGGCACGAAAGCGUGGGGAGCAAACAGGAUUAGAUACCCUGGUAGUCCACGCCGUAAACGAUGAGUACUAGGUGUCGGGGGUUACCCCCCUCGGUGCCGCAGCUAACGCAUUAAAGUACUCCGCCUGGGAAGUACGCUCAC